RNAcentral lists this signal recognition particle RNA (100 nucleotides) under Chloroflexota bacterium. Its description in RNAcentral is "Chloroflexi bacterium signal recognition particle sRNA small type". It matches the Rfam family "Bacterial small signal recognition particle RNA". Rfam says of the family: The signal recognition particle (SRP) is a universally conserved ribonucleoprotein involved in the co-translational targeting of proteins to membranes. Archaeal SRP consists of a 7S RNA and homologues of the eukaryotic SRP19 and SRP54 proteins. Lineage: Bacteria; Bacillati; Chloroflexota. The record is from RNAcentral. RNAcentral also lists the same sequence under 2 other names.
UGCCGGGUCCUGCGCGGCGGAAGCCUUCGAACCCCGCCAGGACCGGAAGGUAGCAACGGUAAGAAGUCUCUUUCGGGCGUCGUAGGGAUGCCCGGCAACA